Molecule: ribosomal RNA, 253 nt
Filed under: uncultured bacterium
Lineage: Bacteria
Description: partial 16S ribosomal RNA
Rfam family: Bacterial small subunit ribosomal RNA
Source: RNAcentral
UACGUAGGGGGCAAGCGUUGUCCGGAAUCAUUGGGCGUAAAGCGCGUGUAGGCGGCUCGGUAAGUCUGCUGUGAAAGUCCAGGGCUCAACCCUGGGAUGCCGGUGGAUACUGUCGAGCUCGAGUCCGGAAGAGGAGGGCGGAAUUCCCGGUGUAGCGGUGAAAUGCGUAGAUAUCGGGAGGAACAUCAGUGGCGAAGGCGGCCCUCUGGUCCAGUACUGACACUCAAGUGCGAAAGCGUGGGGAGCAAACAGG